This 484-nucleotide ribosomal RNA is filed under the name uncultured bacterium. Its description in RNAcentral is "partial 16S ribosomal RNA". It matches the Rfam family "Bacterial small subunit ribosomal RNA", at positions 28 to 523 of the family's 1533-position model. The record is from RNAcentral.
GACGAACGCUGGCGGCGUGCUUAACACAUGCAAGUCGAACGAUGAACCCGGAGCUUGCUCCGGUGGAUUAGUGGCGAACGGGUGAGUAACACGUGAGUAACCUGCCCUUGACUCUGGGAUAACUGCGGGAAACUGUAGCUAAUACCGGAUACGACCCUCGGCGGCAUCGCCAGGGGGUGGAAAGAAUUUCGGUCAAGGAUGGACUCGCGGCCUAUCAGCUAGUUGGUGAGGCAACGGCUCACCAAGGCGACGACGGGUAGCGGACCUGAGAGGAGAGCCGGCCCCACUGGACCUGAGAUACGGCCCAGGCUCCUACGGGAAGCAGCGUUGGGGAUUGUUGCUCUAGGGGCGCAAGGCUGAUGCUACAACGCCGCGUGGGGGAUGACGGCCUUCGUGUUGUAAACCUCUUUUAGUAGGGAAGAAGCGAAAGUGACGGUACCUGCAGAAAAAGCACCGGCUAACUACGUGCCAGCAGCCGCCGUAA